CCAGACUCCUACGGGAGGCAGCAGUGGGGAAUAUUGCACAAUGGGGGAAACCCUGAUGCAGCGACGCCGCGUGAGCGAAGAAGUACCUCGGUAUGUAAAGCUCUAUCAGCAGGGAAGAAGAUGACGGUACCUGACCAAGAAGCUCCGGCUAAAUACGUGCCAGCAGCCGCGGUAAUACGUAUGGAGCAAGCGUUAUCCGGAUUUACUGGGUGUAAAGGGCGUGUAGCCGGGCCGGCAAGUCAGAUGUGAAAUCCCAAGGCGCAACCUUGGAACUGCAUUUGAAACUGUUGGUCUUGAGUAUCGGAGAGGCAGGCGGAAUUCCUAGUGUAGCGGUGAAAUGCGUAGAUAUUAGGAGGAACACCGGUGGCGAAGGCGGCCUGCUGGACUGCAACUGACGUUGAGGCCCGAAAGCGUGGGGAGCAAACAGGAUUAGAUACCCCCGUAUU
Molecule: ribosomal RNA, 446 nt
Filed under: uncultured bacterium
Lineage: Bacteria
Description: partial 16S ribosomal RNA
Rfam family: Bacterial small subunit ribosomal RNA
Source: RNAcentral